AGUGGCGGACGGGUGAGUAACACGUUGGAACCUACCCCGAAGUGAGGAAUAACUGCCCGAAAGGGUAGCUAAUACCUCAUAGUCUCCGAUUUAUUCGGAGUAAAGAUUUAUCGCUUCGGGAGGGGCCUGCGUCCGAUUAGCUAGUUGGUGAGGUAAAUGCUCACCAAGGCGACGAUCGGUAGCUGGUUUGAGAGGAUGACCAGUCACACUGGGACUGAGAUACGGCCCAGACUCCUACGGGAGGCAGCAGUAAGGAAUCUUCCACAAUGGGGGCAACCCUGAUGGAGCAAUACCGCGUGCAGGAUGAAGCGUUUCGGCGUGUAAACUGCUUUUAUCUGUGAUGAUUAUGACAGUAGCAGAAGAAUAAGGAUCGGCUAACUACGUGCCAGCAGCCGCGGUAAUACGUAGGAUCCAAGCGUUAUCCGGAAUUACUGGGCGUAAAGCGUCUGUAGGCGGCUUUUUAAGUCGGGUGCGAAAUCUUGCGGCUCAACCGUAUAGACUGUGCUCGAAACUAUUAAGCUAGAGGUAGGUAGAGGCGAGUGGAAUUUCUGGUGUAGGAGUGACAUCCGUAGAUAUCAGAAGGAACACCAAUGGCGAAGGCAGCUUGCUGGGCCUUACCUGACGCUCAGAGACGAAAGCGUGGGGAGCGAACGGGAUUAGAUACCCCGGUAGUCCACGCCGUAAACGAUGAUCACUAGUAGUAUGGAGAUUCGACCCUUUGUGCUACGAAGCUAACGCGAUAAGUGAUCCGCCUGGGGAGUACGAGCGCAAGCUUAAAACUCAAAGGAAUUGACGGGGACCCGCACAAGCAGAGGAGGAUGUGGUUUAAUUCGAAGCUACGCGAAGAACCUUACCGAGGCUUGACAUCCCGCGAAGGUCUGGGAAACUAGACUGUGCCUUCGGGAACGCGGUGACAGAUGCUGCAUGGCCGUCGUCAGCUCGUGUCGUGAGAUGUUGGGUUAAGUCCCGCAACGAGCGCAACCCUCGUGAUUAGUUAUAUUUUCUAAUCAGACCGCCCGGGCCAACCGGGAGGAAGGUGGGGAUGACGUCUGGUCAGCAUGGCUCUUACGCCUCGGGCUACACACGUCCUACAAUGGCCACUACAACGCGUUGCCAAACCGCAAGGUGGAGCUAAUCGCAUCAAAAGUGGUCCCAGUUCGGAUUGAGGGCUGAAACUCGCCCUCAUGAAGUCGGAUUUGCUAGUAAUGGCAGGUCAGCAAUACUGCCGUGAAUACGUUCCCGGGUCUUGUACACACCGCCCGUCAAAUCACGAAAGUUGGGAGUACCCGAAGUAUCCAUUAGGAUCCUAAGGUAAAUCCAGCGAUUGGGGUUAAGUCGUAACAAGGUA
Molecule: ribosomal RNA, 1348 nt
Filed under: metagenome
Description: bacterial SSU rRNA
Rfam family: Bacterial small subunit ribosomal RNA
Source: RNAcentral